Lycium barbarum (goji berry) is the source of this 726-nucleotide long non-coding RNA. RefSeq lists it as uncharacterized. Lineage: Eukaryota; Viridiplantae; Streptophyta; Magnoliopsida; Solanales; Solanaceae. The record is from RefSeq and is a predicted model, not a curated record. The transcript has 3 exons.
UUAACUUCAAAUCUAUUCAUCUUCUUAGAUCUUAUCUAAACUUCUAUCCUAUGAGAACAACCCAAAAUCUCUUAUAUAAGAAAAAGCCAAGCAAGCUCUUCUGCAACGUACUCUGAAGCAUGAAUUUUUUUUUGGUUGAUUAUCUCUCUCACUGUUGCAGAAAAGCUUGCUUGAUUUUUCUUGUAUAAGAGAUAUUUGGGUUGUUUUAAUAGGAUAGAAGUUUAGAUAAAAUCUAAGAAGAAUAAAUUUAAAGUUAAUGUGGAAAAGAAAAUGUUUAUGUAACUUCAAAUCUAUUCAUCUACUUAGAUCUAAUCUAAACUCCAAAUCCUAUUAGAACAACACCAAAAACCUCUGAUAUAAGAAAAGGCCAAGCAAGCUCUUCUCCAAUAGUGAGAGAUGAUCAACUAAAACAAAUUCAUGCUUUCUGAGUUUAUUGUAGAUUUACGAUUUUCUUUUCAACAAAUGGGAUUGAGUUUUUCAGGCUCUUCACGGCUCUUGCAAUAAUGAUGAGGAAGAUGAAAGGAUGAAGUAAGGAAAGCGCUAGAUCGUAUAUGCAAUGCCAAAGAAAGAUGGACAGGGAAUAGUAAAAUAUUUGUAUGUGAAAUAGUGAAUGCAUUAGAUUUGUAUAUUUAUUAAUGUAUGAAGAUGGACAUGGAGCAGUGAAAUAUUAUUUGAACCCAUCAAUAGAUUGUCCGCUUUACACAAAUUUAUAGCGGCGUCUUUAAU